UACGUAGGGUGCGAGCGUUAAUCGGAAUUACUGGGCGUAAAGCGUGCGCAGGCGGUGAUGUAAGACAGGUGUGAAAGCCCCGGGCUUAACCUGGGAAUGGCCAUGGAAACUGGCGAGCUGGAGUGUGGCAGAGGAGGGUGGAAUUCCGCGUGUAGCAGUGAAAUGCGUAGAGAUGCGGAGGAACACCGAUGGCGAAGGCAGCCCUCUGGGCUAACACUGACGCUGAGGCACGAAAGCGUGGGGAGCCAACAGG
This 253-nucleotide ribosomal RNA is filed under the name uncultured bacterium. RNAcentral's name for it is "partial 16S ribosomal RNA". It matches the Rfam family "Bacterial small subunit ribosomal RNA", at positions 524 to 776 of the family's 1533-position model. The record is from RNAcentral.